GACUUAUCUAGAGCGAUCGAGGGACUGGCCCUGUGACGUCGCGGCAACCUCCCUUCACGGGAAGGUGCCAAAUCCUGCGGAACGGUGACGUUCCGAAAGAUAAGGA
Molecule: non-coding RNA, 106 nt
Filed under: Geobacteraceae bacterium
Lineage: Bacteria; Pseudomonadati; Thermodesulfobacteriota; Desulfuromonadia; Geobacterales; Geobacteraceae
Description: SAM-I sequence
Rfam family: SAM riboswitch aptamer (S box leader)
About the family: The SAM riboswitch is found upstream of a number of genes which code for proteins involved in methionine or cysteine biosynthesis in Gram-positive bacteria. The SAM riboswitch acts at the level of transcription termination control.
Source: RNAcentral